GAUGAACGCUAGCUACAGGCUUAACACAUGCAAGUCGAGGGGAAACGGCAUUGAGUGCUUGCACUCUUUGGACGUCGACCGGCGCACGGGUGAGUAACGCGUAUCCAACCUUCCCAUUACUGUGGGAUAACCUGCCGAAAGGCAGACUAAUACCGCAUAGUCUUCGAUGACGGCAUCAGAUUUGAAGUAAAGAUUUAUCGGUAAUGGAUGGGGAUGCGUCUGAUUAGCUUGUUGGCGGGGUAACGGCCCACCAAGGCAACGAUCAGUAGGGGUUCUGAGAGGAAGGUCCCCCACAUUGGAACUGAGACACGGUCCAAACUCUUACGGGAGGCAGCAGUGAGGAAUAUUGGUCAAUGGACGGAAGUCUGAACCAGCCAAGUAGCGUGCAGGAUGACGGCCCUAUGGGUUGUAAACUGCUUUUGUAUGGGGAUAAAGUUAGGGACG
RNAcentral lists this ribosomal RNA (444 nucleotides) under Prevotella melaninogenica. Its description in RNAcentral is "bacterial SSU rRNA". It matches the Rfam family "Bacterial small subunit ribosomal RNA", at positions 28 to 460 of the family's 1533-position model. Lineage: Bacteria; Pseudomonadati; Bacteroidota; Bacteroidia; Bacteroidales; Prevotellaceae. The record is from RNAcentral.